Oncorhynchus nerka (sockeye salmon) is the source of this 1062-nucleotide long non-coding RNA. RefSeq lists it as uncharacterized. The record is from RefSeq and is a predicted model, not a curated record. The transcript has 3 exons. Lineage: Eukaryota; Metazoa; Chordata; Actinopteri; Salmoniformes; Salmonidae.
UAAAGCCACAGCAGUGAUUUAACCAGUUUUUUAAACGUCUGAGUGUUUUCUAUCCACACAGACUAAGCAAAUGCAUAUACUAUAUUCCUGGCAUGAGUAGCAGGGCGCUGAAAUGUUGAGCGAUUUUUAACAGAAUGUUCAAAAAAGUAGAGGGUCGACUGAAGAGGUUAAAAUAUUUAAAAUAUGGACACUUACCACGCUGCACCUUGGUCCUCCUCUCUAUCUCCAGACGACAACCGUUACAGAGCAGGUGUUCAUGAUGUUUUGUACACUCAGUGUAUAAUGACGAGAUACUAAUGUCUCCACCCUAACAGUGGGAGUCUUUUUAUAGGUGCACCAUCGAGAUCAUCCUGUCGGGCUGUAUCAUCACCACAACUGCACUGCCCUCAACCACAACGCUCUCCAGAGGGUAGUGAGGUUUGCACUACGCAUCACCGGUGGCAAACUACCUGCCUUCCAGGACACCUACAGCACCCGAUGUCACAAGAAGGCAAAAAGAUCAUCAAGGACAACAACCACCCGAGCCACGACCUGUUCACCCCGCUAUCAUUCAGGACCAAGAAACUUAAAAACAGCUUCUAUCUCAAGGCCAUCUGACUGUUAAACAGCCAUCACCACAUUAGUCAUCUCAUAUGUAUUUUAAAUUUAAAAUUAAUUUUGCCUAUUCCUCACAAGUCCUCGACUGGCAGCUUCAAUAAUUGUACCCGCAAAAUACCAGUCUCAACAUCCUAUUUAAAAAGCUGCCAGUUGAGGACUUGUGAGGUAUCUGUUUCUCAAACUAGACACUCUAAUGCACUGGGGUCUCCUACUCCUGCCUGCACACCACCUGUCAUAUGGCCUUCUCUGGACCAACUGCCUCCCCCGUCUCCCCUGGUCACACCACCAUAGCAUCCUCGUCUGGUGUCCCUGCCCCUUGCAAUUUGAAUACAGCCACCUCCACAGUCUAUAGCAACAGCCCUCAAGGCAUCCACCGCCAAAACUUCUGCAGCUUCCUCCAGAGCACAGAAAAGGAAGAGAAAAGCUCCACCGGCCACCUCACGCUACCCAUGGCAGCACUCUCAG